GCUUACACAUGCAAGUCGAGGGGCAGCAUUGGAGUAGCAAUACUUCAGAUGGCGACCGGCGCACGGGUGAGUAACACGUAUCCAACCUGCCGCUUACUCGGGGAUAGCCUUUCGAAAGAAAGAUUAAUACCCGAUGGUAUAAAGAGUUCGCAUGUUCUCUUUAUUAAAGAAUUUCGGUUAUCGAUGGGGAUGCGUUCCAUUAGGCAGUUGGUGAGGUAACGGCUCACCAAACCUUCGAUGGAUAGGGGUUCUGAGAGGAAGGUCCCCCACAUUGGAACUGAGACACGGUCCAAACUCCUACGGGAGGCAGCAGUGAGGAAUAUUGGUCAAUGGGCGCAGGCCUGAACCAGCCAAGUAGCGUGAAGGAUGACUGCCCUAUGGGUUGUAAACUUCUUUUAUAUGGGAAUAAAGUUUUCCACGUGUGGAAUUUUGUAUGUACCAUAUGAAUAAGGAUCGGCUAACUCCGUGCCAGCAGCCGCGGUAAUACGGAGGAUCCGAGCGUUAUCCGGAUUUAUUGGGUUUAAAGGGAGCGUAGGUGGACAGUUAAGUCAGUUGUGAAAGUUUGCGGCUCAACCGUAAAAUUGCAGUUGAUACUGGCUGUCUUGAGUACAGUAGAGGUGGGCGGAAUUCGUGGUGUAGCGGUGAAAUGCUUAGAUAUCACGAAGAACUCCGAUUGCGAAGGCAGCUCACUGGACUGCAACUGACACUGAUGCUCGAAAGUGUGGGUAUCAAACAGGAUUAGAUACCCUGGUAGUCCACACAGUAAACGAUGAAUACUCGCUGUUUGCGAUAUACAGUAAGCGGCCAAGCGAAAGCAUUAAGUAUUCCACCUGGGGAGUACGCCGGCAACGGUGAAACUCAAAGGAAUUGACGG
Molecule: ribosomal RNA, 874 nt
Filed under: uncultured bacterium
Lineage: Bacteria
Description: bacterial SSU rRNA
Rfam family: Bacterial small subunit ribosomal RNA
Source: RNAcentral